AAAAAGGGCCUCUAUGUGAGUGGUGCACCCAGAGCAGCCUGAUUGCUCUAUGUGCGGAAUCCACAUCAAGAAAUUUUGGAAGCAUAAUUUUUUUGGUACUUGGGCAGCUGGUGAUGGUUGGUCCUGGAGCCCCC
Pipistrellus kuhlii (Kuhl's pipistrelle) is the source of this 134-nucleotide small nuclear RNA. RefSeq annotates it as U11 spliceosomal RNA. The record is from RefSeq and is a predicted model, not a curated record. Lineage: Eukaryota; Metazoa; Chordata; Mammalia; Chiroptera; Vespertilionidae. The transcript has a single exon.